RNAcentral lists this ribosomal RNA (466 nucleotides) under uncultured bacterium. RNAcentral describes it as "partial 16S ribosomal RNA". It matches the Rfam family "Bacterial small subunit ribosomal RNA", at positions 28 to 507 of the family's 1533-position model. The record is from RNAcentral.
GAUGAACGCUGGCGGCGUGCUUAACACAUGCAAGUCGAACGAUGAAGCCCAGCUUGUUGGGUGGAUUAGUGGCGAACGGGUGAGUAACACGUGAGUAACCUGCCCUUAACUCUGGGAUAAGCCUGGGAAACUGGGUCUAAUACCGGAUAGGAGCGUCCACCGCACGGUGGGUGUUGGAGAGAUUUAUCGGUUUUGGAUGGACUCGCGGCCUAUCAGCUUGUUGGUGAGGUAAUGGCUCACCAAGGCGACGACGGGUAGCCGGCCUGAGAGGGUGACCGGCCACACUGGGACUGAGACACGGCCCAGACUCCUACGGGAGGCAGCAGUGGGGAAUAUUGCACAAUGGGCGAAAGCCUGAUGCAGCGACGCCGCGUGAGGGAUGACGGCCUUCGGGUUGUAAACCUCUUUCAGUAGGGAAGAAGCGAGAGUGACGGUACCUGCAGAAGAAGCACCGGCUAACUACGUG